RNAcentral lists this long non-coding RNA (2045 nucleotides) under Gopherus agassizii (Agassiz's desert tortoise). Its description in RNAcentral is "lncRNA (ENSGAGG00000017139.1)". The record is from RNAcentral. Lineage: Eukaryota; Metazoa; Chordata; Testudines; Testudinidae.
GCGAUAUCGGUGAUGGGAAGGCGCGAUCAGGAAGCGCUGGUGUCCGGCGCGUGCUGCCUUUGUUUUACUGGCUCCCCCUCAGCCAGGGAGACGAGCUCAGGGUCCGCUGCGUAUCUUGAUAUCUUCCGGUAAUGGAGAGCGAAGUGUUGCGGAUUUCAAAAAUUUUCUAUGAAGUUGAGUAAGCAUUCUACAACUACUGUGAUAGGGGCAAUCCCAGGACACCAAGAGAAAUACGAAGAGAAGAGAAAAUACUUGGUGGUCAAGAGGAGUACUUCUGAAUAAAGAAAAGGAAUCUUAUGUUCUUAUAGAAGCCCACAACACAUGACCAUAGAUGGCGCCUAAACCACUUGGGAAGUGGGAAAAGUAUGGAAAAAGAUACUGUCGAGAUUGGGAAAGGGAAACUGGAUUAAAAGAAUGGAUUCGAAGUAUACCUGGAGAUGACACAAAGGCAGCAUGCAAAUAUUGCGCAUGUGAAAUCCGAGCCCAUCAUAGUGAUUUGGUUGCACACAGUAAAACCAAAAAGCACAAGAGACAUGUUGCUUUAUUUUCAUGUUCUUCUGAUAUGAAAAAACAUUCAUUUGAAUUUGAAGUUGAAAACCAAAAUUCAUUUGACGAUGAUAUCACGCAAGCCAAAAUGGAUCAAUCUGUUAAUGUGUGCGCACUGAAGCUAGCGGCACACAUAGCUUGCAAUAUGAGCAUUUUUACAGUGGAUCACCUAGGCUGCAUUGUUGGAGGGAUAGCAGAGAAAGACAUUAGUCUGCAUAGAACAAAAUGCUCCACACUGAUUAGAAAUGUCAUUGGGCCUACUGUACAUGAAGAACUUCUGAGAGACAUUGGCAAUGGACACUAUUCAUUGAUUAUUGAUGAAAGUACAGAUGUAUCAGCACAAAAGCAACUUUGCUUGAUAGUAAGAUACUUUAGCAACAAGCUUAAAUGUAUUGUAUCAUCCUUUGCAGGGAUCAUUAAUUUGACUAGAAGUGGUACUAUCACAGAAGCCCUCUUGACAUUUCUAAAUGACAACAAGCUGAACAUAAAAAAGUGUGUUGGGAUUGCUGCUGAUGGUUUCAAUACAAGCUUAUGUGGAAAUAAAAAUUCAUUGCUCAAAAAGUUUUAUGAACUCAAUCCUUGUGGAGUUUUCAUCAAAUAUAGGGGAUCAUAUCAAGUUGAAACAGCAAUGGAGAAAUCUGGAUGCAGUCUCAUGGACAAACACAGAAGAUAGCCAAAUAGAACAGUUCUGGAUAGAAGUUGCAAAACACACAGAUGAAGUUGGUGAUAAGGAUUUUGUUGAGCUUGGAUUAUUUGCCCUUGCCCUUCUCACCUUGCCGUUCAGCACUGCAGCUGUGGAAUGUACAAUCUCACAAAUGAACUCGAUAAAAACCAAGUUAAAGAACAGACUGCAGGACAGCCUACUUGAAAAUAUCUUAAGGAUCAGGGCCCAUAUGCACCGAAAUAAGAUUUGCUGCAACCAGUUUCAACCAUCCAAAGAGAUGAUAUCUUUGUUUAAUAAUGAGUUUUAUGCAAUUGCUAAUAGCAAGGACGCUACAGAUGACUCUGAGGAGGAUAUAUUUUGAAAAGACUCAAGUGAAGAGGAUCUCUUUUAAAAAAGUAAGCAAGGAUUUUCAAAAUGGCGCAUUGCAAUUGAACUAUUUGACUCAUGCAUUUCAAAUUUUGUUCUAUCUACAAAUCUGUUUUCCCAUUCAUUUAGUAAGAACUACUUUUCAUAGAGGAAAGAUACAUUGCAUAAAGCCACACAACCCUUUUUAGAAAAAGAUUUUUGAAAAACUAAAGUAAAAUUAAUGAGGCAUGCUCUAAUAGUAAUUCAUUUGGUGGGGGCCACACUUGACUGAAGAUGCUGAUUAGACAGUGCACCAAAAACCCCUCCCCAUUAGCCUAUUAAUGUAAUACAGUCAUGGCAUAUUUUUAUAUUGAGUGAUACACAACGUAACACUACAUUUCUGUGCCUCAGUACAAUACUCUCAGUCAGGUGCCAGAUGGCUGGGUGAAAAUUAAAUAAAACCUGCUUUUUUGUAUAUGUUUUGGAGGGC